AGUAGAGUCAGCUAAUU
RNAcentral lists this transfer RNA (17 nucleotides) under Plestiodon oshimensis. Its description in RNAcentral is "partial tRNA-Met". Lineage: Eukaryota; Metazoa; Chordata; Lepidosauria; Squamata; Scincidae. The record is from RNAcentral.